Molecule: ribosomal RNA, 616 nt
Filed under: uncultured Herbaspirillum sp.
Lineage: Bacteria; Pseudomonadati; Pseudomonadota; Betaproteobacteria; Burkholderiales; Oxalobacteraceae
Description: bacterial SSU rRNA
Rfam family: Bacterial small subunit ribosomal RNA
Source: RNAcentral
AGAGUUUGAUCAUGGCUCAGAUUGAACGCUGGCGGCAUGCCUUACACAUGCAAGUCGAACGGCAGCACGGGAGCUUGCUCCUGGUGGCGAGUGGCGAACGGGUGAGUAAUAUAUCGGAACGUGCCCUAGAGUGGGGGAUAACUAGUCGAAAGAUUAGCUAAUACCGCAUACGAUCUAAGGAUGAAAGUGGGGGAUCGCAAGACCUCAUGCUCGUGGAGCGGCCGAUAUCUGAUUAGCUAGUUGGUGAGGUAAAGGCUCACCAAGGCGACGAUCAGUAGCUGGUCUGAGAGGACGACCAGCCACACUGGAACUGAGACACGGUCCAGACUCCUACGGGAGGCAGCAGUGGGGAAUUUUGGACAAUGGGCGCAAGCCUGAUCCAGCAAUGCCGCGUGAGUGAAGAAGGCCUUCGGGUUGUAAAGCUCUUUUGUCAGGGAAGAAACGGUUCUGGUUAAUACCCGGGGCUAAUGACGGUACCUGAAGAAUAAGCACCGGCUAACUACGUGCCAGCAGCCGCGGUAAUACGUAGGGUGCAAGCGUUAAUCGGAAUUACUGGGCGUAAAGCGUGCGCAGGCGGUUGUACAAGACAGAUGUGAAAUCCCCGGGCUUAACCUGG